UUUAGUGUCUUGGGCGUAGAGGAACCACACCAAUCCAUCCAGAACUUGGUGGUUAAACUCUAUUGCGGUGACGAUAUUGUAGGGGAGGUCCUGCGAAAAAAAUAGCUCGACGCCAGGA
This 118-nucleotide ribosomal RNA is filed under the name Nicotiana attenuata. The record is from RNAcentral. Lineage: Eukaryota; Viridiplantae; Streptophyta; Magnoliopsida; Solanales; Solanaceae.